AUCAAACCAAGACCCGGAUGCCAAGUAAACCCCAAGGCUUUCUACAUUCUAAAUUUCCCUAUUCCGUUUCGAUUCCGCUGUUGUUCGAACCCAAGGCUCCUUUAGCUGCCGUCUAUUCCCCUCCCUCCUCAUACAUAUUCUCUCUUUAAUAUACUCAGCAAUCGAAUUAUGUUCUCUUCCCAAAAGCCAAAGCCAAAGAGCUAGCUCUCAAGGAACUUGGAGGAACAGCUUCAUCAAAACUCAAGUUUAAAGAUCAACAGGUUCUUAUGCUUAUCAUAUAUGUUUUUAGUUUCCAAAUCCGUUGGGAAUUAGGGAAAACUAUCGUGCUUCACCAUUAAUUCAUCCCUGAGGAAUGUGAAAUUAGCUUUCGCUUUGAUUAGGUCAAGAUCAAUUAGAUUUAGGUAUUUACUUUCAUGCUGAAUCGUAGCUGAAUUUAAAGACAUGAAGGGUAGGACACACCGUCUCCAGGGUCAUGAUCUGCAUGAGGAUUGGGUGGAUGGCUCCUGGACGGUGGAUUGCGUUUGCGGUGUGAAUUUCGACGAUGGGGAAGAGAUGGUCAACUGUGAUGAGUGCGGUGUAUGGGUACAUACUCGCUGCUCCGGGUACAUGAAGGGAGACGAUUUAUUUACUUGUGAUAAGUGCAAGAGCAAGAACAAUAAGGAUGACAGUGAGGAGACGGAGGUUGCUCAAUUGCUGGUUGAAUUGCCGACUAAAACUAUCCGGCUAGAGAGUAGUUAUGCAGCAAAUGUUCCCUCACACCCGCCCUUGAGGCUUUGGACUGAUAUACCUAUGGAGGAGAGAGUGCAUGUGCAGGGUAUUCCAGGUGGUGAUCCUGCAUUGUUUUCUGGGUUUUCCUCUGUUUUUACGCCAGAGUUGUGGAAGUGCACCGGAUAUGUGCCUAAAAAGUUUAGUUUUCAGUACAGGGAGUUCCCUUGCUGGGAUGUGAAGGAGUGUGGUGAUAGCGGAAAUGAGAAUGAAAGUACUAUUGAUAAAGGUGCAGGUGUCUUGUUUUCGUUGGCUAAGGAGAGCGUGUUUCCAACCCCUGCAACAGCUUUGGUUGGCAUGAAAGGGAGAGGUGGGGAUGGCAGUUUUGAUAGGAAACAUUACUCAGAGGGAAGGAAAAAUUUGGUGGAUGAGGACAGUGAGGUUAGGCAUUUGCAGGUUGGGGUUAAAAAGGAGAGAAGCUUCCUUCGGCCAGUUGUAAUACAUUCAAGUAAAAGAAAGAAAGAAGAUCUAGGAACAUCCAAAGAACGAAGUGGAAAGAAGAAGGAUAGAGCUGCAUACAAGGAGGUGGAUGCAAAGAAGAGAGGUUCACAUGUUUCUAGAACAGCAUUUACAUCCACCAGUGAUGCAAAACCUUUGGAAUUUUAUGAAGACAGAGGUCCAAAGUCUAUCAAGAGUGAUAGCCAGAGUAUUGACAACAAGAAUCUGAGGGACUCUAUGAUCCAGGAAAAUGAAUCAGAUUGUUAUAUUUCUGUGGGAAAUGGUGUACAAAAGUCCAAGAACAGUGUGGCAGUGAUUGAGUGCUCCUCAGAAGUUUUAUCUGCUGCCAUUUCUAGACAUAAUUUUCCAAGUGGAACUGGACUGGAUGAAGGGAAAGUUAGCCAUGAAGGUCUAGAAGCAUUUGAGUGUUCUCCCAAAGUUGAUAAUGCAGCUACAUCAGUGCCUGAACAAAGUGAUGAUGGGAGAAUCCCUGCAGAACAAGAGGGAGAUAACAUGCCAAAUGGUAAUCUGGAUGAUUCUACGGAAGGUUCUGCUGGAAGUGACGUUAAGCCCCCAAAUGACGAUCUGGUUGCCACUGUUCCAGAAAUCAAGGACAAUCAGAUUAAUGGUGAUCAUGACAUGUUUCUGAGUUCUUUGCAGCCUAAUGUUAAAGUAGAUGCAGUUUAUGAUGAUUCUAUGGGGAUCCUGAAUGAUAAAUCUUCGGUUGGUGAUGCGAAAGAUAUAGGGGUUUCUCAUGAUAACAUUGCUGAAAAUUCUAAAAUGAAUAAUGCAGCAUUAAGUGUUUCACCAUCUGGUGACAAAAAGGCUCAAGAGGUUGACAGAACUCCAGAAGCAAUCAGUGAUUGCCAUGCAGGAAAACACAAUGAUUUAACUAGUGAACCCUUUCAGAUUAAACAGGAAUUGGAGGGGCCUGAGGGUUUAUUGUCGUUGCAAAAAUGCCCUUCAGAACCUAAAGCUUUUGGUGAAGAACUCUCAAAAUCUGGUGGAACUAUCUCCAAUUCUUCGGCGUUACCCAGUCAGAAUAAAAUUGUUUUGUGUGUUGGAAAAUCAUCUUCCACUUCAGCCACUGUCAUGGUCUCCAAAUCUUCUGGCUGUGACAACUUUAGAUCUGCUGCUCCUCUGGAUUCUAAUCCUAAUACUAAGCAGCAAGUAAAGUCUGAGUGCGAUUCUAAUAUUAAGAAAGAUCGAGCUACAAGUGAUAUAGUCAAGGUCAACAAUGAAGACAGUCAGGACGUGUCAAGAAGAACAGUAAAUGAGCGUCCAAAAUCCUCUGUAAAUGCUGCUCCAAAACCGUCAAACUCGAGCAAAAUUUCGCAUACAUCUGUUAUUAAGAGAACUAUCUCGGAUUCAAAAGAUUCUGCAAAUUACUCAUCUUCUAAAACAUCUUCAGCUCAGAAUUCCUGUGAGACUACAGGAUCUCCACAAAAUGAAUGUGCUUUACAGGUUCAAAAUAAGGCAUUGGCUUCAGGUUUACCUCUAAGAGGUGAAAAGUUUAAUCAGUCUUGUAGCCAGUCAUCAUCUAAGACAAAUCAUGCAUCAUCUAUGAAUCUGCCCACAUCUACUAAUUCUUCUGCAACUUUAAGCGAUGAAGAGCUUGCAUUGCUUUUGCAUCAAGAACUCAAUAGUUCGCCUAGAGUUCCUCGUGUUCCACGUGUUCGUCAUGCAGGUAGCUUACCCCAGCUGGCUUCUGCCGCAGCAACAAGCAUGCUAAUAAAACGUACAUCUAGUUCUGGAGGAAGAGAUCAUAGUUUGGCUUCUAGAAGAAAAAAUAAGGAUGCAUCUAAAGAUGGUUUUCCCCGUUCUCAUGAGCCUGAUGAUGAGGCUAAAAAAACUGACAAGGUUCCAUGUUCACCUGAUCAGAAGAGGCAGGAUACAGGAUGUACUGCUGACGAUUUGUCUAAGAGAGAGGAUAAUAGAUCUCCGACGGCAGUACAUUCUGUAAAGAGAAGCAUCCCUCCUGCUUCCACCUCAACUGCAAACAGUGGCCCAUCUUCCCCUACUAAUGUUAAUGAACAUCAUUUUUCUUCUACACGUAAUUCACCAAGAAAUAUGUCCGAUGAGGAGACGAGCACUGUCCAGGGUACUGUUCAUCGCACUUUACCAGGCUUAAUCAAUGAGAUUAUGAGCAAAGGCAGGCGCAUGACAUACGAGGAACUCUGUAAUGCUGUCUUGCCGCACUGGCAUAACUUGAGGAAACAUAAUGGAGAACGUUAUGCAUAUUCAAGUCAUUCUCAGGCUGUUCUUGACUGCCUUAGGAACCGACAUGAGUGGGCUCAGUUGGUGGAUCGUGGUCCCAAGACAAACUCAAGUAGGAAGAGGCGCAAACUUGAUGCUGAGGAAUCAGAAGAUAAUGACUGUGGCAAGGGAAGAAAUGCAAAGGAGGGUGAAAGUAAAAGCCUUGAAUCACAAAGAGAAGAGUUUCCCAAGGGCAAGCGGAAAGCAAGGAAACGAAGGCGUCUGGCACUGCAAGGAAGAGGAAUAAAGGAAAUUAGGAAGAGUCGGAAGGCAGAUUUGCUUACUGAUGAAGAUAGUGGGCCAUUUUCUAAUUCAAGUGAUGAGAGUUUGUUCAGUGAUGAUGAGAUUCCGGGUGGAGGAGCUGAGCCAGUUGGAACUGAGGCCUCAGCUAGCUCGGAUGAGACAGGGGCAAUGUGAUUGUUAAUGUUUGACUUUUGGUUUUUGGUCUGUGUUGUUGAUUUCAGGAGGAAGCCAGGCUUCUCCUUUUUCUGCUGGGAAUCUGGUAUGGUUAUCCUCUGAUGCGGCUGCCAUUAGUUUUCAGAGCUCAUGGAAUUUUAGCAAGUUAGUAAGGUGUCGCAAUCACUGUUGUAUGAUCCCCGUGGAAUUGUUACUGUUUUUAUGUCAGCCCAGUGAAACCCUAUAACCAGUUGCAUAUUAUCAUUGACCAUCCUGAAUGUCAUUGGUGGUGAGCAUAGUCUUGCAGGGAUGUGGGAUAUUGAGGCGUGGCUGAUUCUGAUAUUGAAAGUUAUAAUACUAGUGUGUGCAUAUGUAAUUUUUGUACUCUUAUAGGGGGCUCCUUUUUUCUCUUUGUUUUUUUAGAGACAGUCAGUGAUCCAUGGGAAUUCUGCAAAAUUUUGUAAAAGCAGCCGGGAAUUACAUGUUUUGCUUGAUGCGGGGUUACGAAUCUCUGUAUGGUAUGUGAUGAAGUCAAAUGUUCCUGAAGUUUAGAGGUUUCG
RNAcentral lists this unclassified non-coding RNA (4415 nucleotides) under Hevea brasiliensis (rubber tree). The record is from RNAcentral. Lineage: Eukaryota; Viridiplantae; Streptophyta; Magnoliopsida; Malpighiales; Euphorbiaceae.